Molecule: ribosomal RNA, 460 nt
Filed under: uncultured bacterium
Lineage: Bacteria
Description: partial 16S ribosomal RNA
Rfam family: Bacterial small subunit ribosomal RNA
Source: RNAcentral
GAUGAACGCUGGCGGCAUGCCUAACACAUGCAAGUCGGACGGGAAGUGGUGUUUCCCGUGGCGGACGGGUGAGCAACGCGCAAGAACCUGCCCUUUGGAGGGGAACAACAUCUGGAAACGGCUGCUAAUACACCGUAGGCUGAGGAGCAAAAGGAGGAAUCAGCCUGAGGAGGCGCUCGCGUCUGAUUAGCUAGUUGGUGAGGGAAUAGCUUACCAAGGCGAUGAACAGUAGCUGUCCCGAGAGGAUGAUCGGACACACUGGAACUGAGACAUGGGCCAGACUGCGACUGGAGGCAGGCGUAGGGAACUACGGGAAAUGGGAGAAAGGAAGAUUCCGCAAUGCGGGGUGGGUGAAGAAGGCCUUGGCGCGGGAAAGUAGUGUGCCUAGGGAAGAAGAACUGCUUUUGCCGGAGAAGAAGUAAUGACGGUAUCUGAAGAAUAAGCAACGGCUAACUCUGUG